ACAUGUGAUCCUUCAGAGUUAGGCCAAUGUUUAUCCCAGUACUAGCAAUCUGAUGGUUACAAAUUAUAGGAGAUUUAAUAAUGAAUAUGCAACGAUACAAGUGAAAGUAUAGCCAAUAGAAAUUAGAAAAGGCUGACUAAGCAUACUCACUCAAAACAAUGGUUUCAUUGUAAUAAUUAUUGAACUUCAAUUGAAGUGGCUAUGCCACUUGAAUGUAGAUCAGCAACNNAUCCUACAUUUUGUAAAUAAUUGCACUGUACAGAUCACAAUCGACAAGGCCAUAUGCUGAG
This 290-nucleotide unclassified non-coding RNA is filed under the name Hevea brasiliensis (rubber tree). Lineage: Eukaryota; Viridiplantae; Streptophyta; Magnoliopsida; Malpighiales; Euphorbiaceae. The record is from RNAcentral.